Molecule: ribosomal RNA, 445 nt
Filed under: uncultured bacterium
Lineage: Bacteria
Description: bacterial SSU rRNA
Rfam family: Bacterial small subunit ribosomal RNA
Source: RNAcentral
GUAAGGAAUAUUGGACAAUGGACGCAAGUCUGAUCCAGCCAUGCCGCGUGAAGGAUUAAGGUCCUCUGGAUUGUAAACUUCUUUUAUAAGGGACGAAAAAAGGCUUUUCUAAGUCGUCUGACGGUACCUUAUGAAUAAGCACCGGCUAACUCCGUGCCAGCAGCCGCGGUAAUACGGAGGGUGCAAGCGUUAUCCGGAUUCACUGGGUUUAAAGGGUGCGUAGGUGGGCAGGUAAGUCAGUGGUGAAAUCCUAGAGCUUAACUCUAGAACUGCCAUUGAUACUAUCUGUCUUGAAUAUUGUGGAGGUAAGCGGAAUAUGUCAUGUAGCGGUGAAAUGCUUAGAUAUGACAUAGAACACCUAUUGCGAAGGCAGCUUACUACGCAUAUAUUGACGCUGAGGCACGAAAGCGUGGGGAUCAAACAGGAUUAGAUACCCCUGUAGUCC